RNAcentral lists this ribosomal RNA (777 nucleotides) under uncultured bacterium. Its description in RNAcentral is "bacterial SSU rRNA". It matches the Rfam family "Bacterial small subunit ribosomal RNA", at positions 8 to 796 of the family's 1533-position model. The record is from RNAcentral.
AGAGUUUGAUCCUGGCUCAGGAUGAACGCUGGCGGCGUGCUUAACACAUGCAAGUCGAACGGUGAACACGGAGCUUGCUCUGUGGGAUCAGUGGCGAACGGGUGAGUAACACGUGAGCAACCUGCCCCUGACUCUGGGAUAAGCGCUGGAAACGGCGUCUAAUACUGGAUAUGUGACGUGAUCGCAUGGUCUGCGUCUGGAAAGAAUUUCGGUUGGGGAUGGGCUCGCGGCCUAUCAGCUUGUUGGUGAGGUAAUGGCUCACCAAGGCGUCGACGGGUAGCCGGCCUGAGAGGGUGACCGGCCACACUGGAACUGAGACACGGCCCAGACUCCUACGGGAGGCAGCAGUGGGGAAUAUUGCACAAUGGGCGCAAGCCUGAUGCAGCAACGCCGCGUGAGGGACGACGGCCUUCGGGUUGUAAACCUCUUUUAGCAGGGAAGAAGCGACAGUGACGGUACCUGCAGAAAAAGCGCCGGCUAACUACGUGCCAGCAGCCGCGGUAAUACGUAGGGCGCAAGCGUUAUCCGGAAUUAUUGGGCGUAAAGAGCUCGUAGGCGGUUUGUCGCGUCUGCUGUGAAAUCCGGAGGCUCAACCUCCGGCCUGCAGUGGGUACGGGCAGACUAGAGUGCGGUAGGGGAGAUUGGAAUUCCUGGUGUAGCGGUGGAAUGCGCAGAUAUCAGGAGGAACACCGAUGGCGAAGGCAGAUCUCUGGGCCGUAACUGACGCUGAGGAGCGAAAGGGUGGGGAGCAAACAGGCUUAGAUACCCUGGUAGUCC